This 252-nucleotide ribosomal RNA is filed under the name uncultured bacterium. Its description in RNAcentral is "partial 16S ribosomal RNA". It matches the Rfam family "Bacterial small subunit ribosomal RNA", at positions 524 to 776 of the family's 1533-position model. The record is from RNAcentral.
UACGUAGGGUGCAAGCGUUAAUCGGAAUUACUGGGCGUAAAGCGUGCGCAGGCGGUUGUGCAAGACAGAUGUGAAAUCCCCGGGCUUAACCUGGGAACUGCAUUUGUGACUGCACGGCUAGAGUGUGUCAGAGGGGGUAGAAUUCCACGUGUAGCAGUGAAAUGCGUAGAUAUGUGGAGGAAUACCGAUGGCGAAGGCAGCCCCCUGGGAUAACACUGACGCUCAUGCACGAAAGCUAGGGGAGCAAACAGG